Molecule: long non-coding RNA, 764 nt
Organism: Globicephala melas (long-finned pilot whale)
Lineage: Eukaryota; Metazoa; Chordata; Mammalia; Artiodactyla; Delphinidae
Source: RefSeq, a predicted model, not a curated record
GCGAGAGUCCUCUCUGGGUAGGCGGCGGGCGCGGAGUCAUGGAUUCGGCUUCGUGCGGAUUGCUGGCUUCAGCCGGCGUGUGACGAGCCGUGGGAUCCAGCUCUGUGGAAAACACAAAGCAAACCUGGGAGAGUGGUGAACAGAUGGAUGAGGGACAAAAUCAUGUCCGUUUCUCAAUCUUGAGAACUGCCCAAGGUGACUCUACUUCUCGCUCUCCUUCAGUAACCUCAAAUCUGGAGGAAGUAAAUGAUAUGUACUGAAAGCCCCAUGGUUACUUUUGGAAUGGUCUACUAGAUUUGACCAGUGCUGGAGAGUAUUCAGUGGAUGAUUUGCAGUUACAUCUGCUAAGUACGCGGGCCUCUCACUGUUGCGGCCUCGGACGCGCAGGCUCAGCGGCCAUGGCUCAUGGGCCCAGCUGCUCCGCGGCAUGUGUGAUCCCCCCGGACCGGGGCAUGAACCCGUGUCCCCUGCAUCGGCAGGCGGACUCUCAACCACCGCGCCACCAGGGAAGCCCUUCCCUCCCUUUUUAUUCAGUUACCUCCUACUCAUCUUCAAGAGCUCAUCUCUAGAGACAUUUUUCAAGGGAUGCCAUGAUAGACUGAAAAGUCCUUGCAAGAAAGGUGGUGUGGGGAGACCUUCAAGAUGGCGGAGGAGUAAGAUGUGGAGAUCACCUUCCUCCCCACAAAUACAUCAGAAAUACAUCUACACGUGGAACAACUCCUACAGAACACCGACUGAACGCUGGCAGAAGAACUCAGACUUCC